CGCGUAGGCGGUCUUGUCGGUCAGAUGUGAAAGCCCAGGGCUCAACCCUGGACGUGCAUUUGAAACAGCAAGACUUGAGUACGGGAGGGGAAAGCGGAAUUCCUGGUGUAGAGGUGAAAUUCGUAGAUAUCAGGAGGAACACCGAUGGCGAAGGCAGCUUUCUGGACCGAUACUGACGCUGAGGCGCGAAGGCGUGGGUAGCGAACAGGAUUAGAUACCCUGGUAGUCC
This 229-nucleotide ribosomal RNA is filed under the name uncultured bacterium. RNAcentral describes it as "partial 16S ribosomal RNA". It matches the Rfam family "Bacterial small subunit ribosomal RNA", at positions 568 to 796 of the family's 1533-position model. The record is from RNAcentral.